This 496-nucleotide ribosomal RNA is filed under the name uncultured bacterium. Its description in RNAcentral is "partial 16S ribosomal RNA". It matches the Rfam family "Bacterial small subunit ribosomal RNA", at positions 29 to 507 of the family's 1533-position model. The record is from RNAcentral.
AUGCACGCUGGCGGCGUGCCUCAUCCCUGCCAGUCGAGCGAACGGACGAGAAGCUUGCUUUUCUGAUGUUAGCGGCGGACGGGUGAGUAACACGUGGAUAACCUACCUAUAAGACUGGGAUAACUUCGGGAAACCGGAGCUAAUACCGGAUAAUAUUUUGAACCGCAUGGUUCAAAAGUGAAAGACGGUCUUGCUGUCACUUAUAGAUGGAUCCGCGCUGCAUUAGCUAGUUGGUAAGGUAACGGCUUACCAAGGCAACGAUGCAUAGCCGACCUGAGAGGGUGAUCGGCCACACUGGAACUGAGACACGGUCCAGACUCCUACGGGAGGCAGCAGUAGGGAAUCUUCCGCAAUGGGCGAAAGCCUGACGGAGCAACGCCGCGUGAGUGAUGGAGGUCUUCGGAUCGUAAAACUCUGUUAUUAGGGAAGAACAUAUGUGUAAGUAACUGUGCACAUCUUGACGGUACCUAAUCAGAAAGCCACGGCUAACUACGUG